RNAcentral lists this ribosomal RNA (1800 nucleotides) under Triticum aestivum (bread wheat). RNAcentral's name for it is "partial small subunit ribosomal RNA". The record is from RNAcentral. Lineage: Eukaryota; Viridiplantae; Streptophyta; Magnoliopsida; Poales; Poaceae.
GGUCUAGCUGCGGCGGUGGGGAGAGAUUGGGAUCGGAAGGACAGUGGCCGCCGCCGCGGGAGGGAGGGAGCGGGAGAGGAGGAGGAGAGGAGUGCCGGCGGAGGUGGUGCGGUGUUUGGGGCUGCUGGGUGGGGCAGAGACACGGGCGGAGCCGUUGGUGGAGGCAGCGCGCAGACUCAGGGUAGGCACAGGCGCGGCCGAGGCAGAGACAGAGGAAAGCACCCUCCACUAGGCGUGGGCCUGGGCGCCGCCCCGUCCCCACCGCUGCCGGAGCACAUCUAGGGUAGGACUAGGGCAUCGUCGGUCACAUCGGCGGGGGUGGACGAGAGGAGACGAGGCCCUAGGUAGGUAGGUGAUCCCAAGACGCCGGCUGGCCUCAGGUCCGGUACCGCGCCUUCUACGAGUUCCUGCCCCUCCGCGGGCGGUAGCGCCUGCCGCCGCUCCUCUCGAUGCUGAUGCUGGAGAAACAGUAGCCGCGGCCGUCGCCACAGGAGGCGCCGAGGGCGUGGCGGCGCCCUAAGCCUCGGUUCCAACGCUAGACGCUCGAGGGCAAGGUGGGGUAGUUGAGCCUAACCGACCCUCCUGUGCCGCCUUGCAUUCGUGUUAGGACUUAAUGAAGGAAGAGACGCAAAAACAACGACGUUAAUACGAGACUUAGAUAGAUACACACGAGCGACGUAGAUCCACGCACUAUGUACCGACAGAAAGCUUCUUCUAUGACCACGUAGUUUCAAUAUCAGACGUGGUACAACGACCUUUUUCAAAGCCCACGUCCUGCGGUUCUUAAAGCCCACCCUCUAGUUACCGCUGUAGUUGAUGUUGACCUUUUUCAACGACCUUUUGUUCGACCUCGCCUAGCAGCCUUACAGCAGACACGCCUCCGAUUAAAGAAGGCUGUUCCUAUACAAACAGAAGACGAGUGGUACGCGUACUCGCACACUGCCGGAACGGCUGAUCAUCUUAAAACCUUGUACUCGACUUUUAGGCGACAACUGAUCAGAUCGACUUUCACGCACAUGGACUUCAACGCCAUCGACUAAUAAUGGAACAUCUCCCAAUUACGAAGGUUUAAAAAAUCGUAGCUAGAACUCGUAGAGAACCAAGAUGCCUCGAAUCAGCAACACGGUUUUCAGUGGUCAAACCUUAAGACCCUUUUCUAAGUUGACGGAAAAAAAUCGUAGCUGGAACAGAAUAACUAAUCUAUCUAUGUCAACCACGUCGUCUAACUUUUUGGAGCUUUGCUUUCGAAAGACUAGGGAUCCCUUCUGCCAGUUUAACCUUCUUUUAGGUGUCUGACUGCUUGGGUAACGGACGUAGGACAUCUUCAUAUUCUAUUGGUUUUCAAGUCGUUUUAUUUCAGAGGUGUGAGUGGCGGCAAAGUGAGACAAGGAACGAAGGAUUUGGACGUGGACAUCAUCGAAUAACAAUAGGACCAACAAAACAACGAUAGUUAUAAUCAGGGUACAAAACAAAGGAACGUACGAAUGAUGAUGUUAGAUAUGAUGACGAUAACAGUAUAGAUGAAGAACACCAAGGGAGUUUAAUACAUAUAGACGAUAACAGUAUAGAGAUAAGUGUACAUAUUAGUUUGUAGAAACAUGAUGACGACAACAACAUACCGUUUGUGGGCUCCGUUUAGUAUAAACACUACGUCAAAGACAUUGAACCGUAAAGAUGUACCGAACAAAUAUAACCGUUAAUAUGUGACUACUACUACAAAUGGACGUAACGAAUUAAAACAAAUAGAACUAGAACUGCCUUUUUUGUAGUGUACAAAGAAAAGUUCUUGUAUGACAGAUU